ACGCUCGACACCUACGGGAAGGCAGCAGUGGGGGAUAUUGCACAAUGGGCGAAAGCCUGAUGCAGCGACGCCGCGUGAGGGAAGACGGUCUUCGGAUUGUAAACCUCUGUCUUCAGGGACGAAAGGAAUGACGGUACCUGAGGAGGAAGCCACGGCUAACUACGUGCACAGCCGCGGUAAUCUGAGCGGGCUGGCAAGGC
RNAcentral lists this ribosomal RNA (200 nucleotides) under uncultured bacterium. RNAcentral describes it as "partial 16S ribosomal RNA". It matches the Rfam family "Bacterial small subunit ribosomal RNA", at positions 328 to 539 of the family's 1533-position model. The record is from RNAcentral.